This 24-nucleotide non-coding RNA is filed under the name Callithrix jacchus (white-tufted-ear marmoset). The record is from RNAcentral. Lineage: Eukaryota; Metazoa; Chordata; Mammalia; Primates; Cebidae. RNAcentral also lists the same sequence under 1 other name.
UCGACCUGGUAUUGCAGUACUUCC